Cyprinus carpio carpio is the source of this 1510-nucleotide long non-coding RNA. The record is from Ensembl. Lineage: Eukaryota; Metazoa; Chordata; Actinopteri; Cypriniformes; Cyprinidae.
AGGAACAAGAAAACCGAGAGAGAAUUUACCAUAACGCACUCAAAGUUUUUAUGUUUGAUUUUCAGUUCAAUGGACAACAGUUAUGUGUGGAUGCUGCCAGAGAGGAUGGAUCACUAGGGAGACUGGUAAAUGACGACGAAGUGAACCCAAACAGCAAAAUUAAAGUUACAAGAGUGGAUGGAAGACCCCAUCUGUGUUUAUUCGCAAUCAAAGAUAUUGGUUCAGGGGAAGAAAUCACUUAUAACUAUGGUAAUUCGGAUUGGCCAUGGAGAAGCAAGGUAGUUAUAUAAAGUUUAUAUAAAGUUAUCUUAAGUAGAAAUAGUAGUAUAGAGUGGUUAAAGGGGUCAUAUAAUGGUAUGUUUUUUCCAGUCAGAUUUGAGCCGUUCGACCUAGUGACAUCACUUUAUCGGACGCCACUCUCACGAUUGAUAAUUGACAAGAUGAGACUUAUUUAGACUUGACUAUUUCAACUUGUUCAGUCCUAUUCAAAAUGUUAGAAACUGACAAGUAAACAGAUUUCUGUUGACCUUAUUUAUCAAUAUAAACUAAUAUGAGGUAUAUCUUGAAGUGUCUAAACUCAUAGGUCCUGUGUAAUCCUCACCAUGUAAGGUUCAGACAUUAGCAGGUCUGUUAGUUUUGUGCAUUAGAUAUGAACUCAUGAGAAUGAUAUUAAGUAGUAGUAUUGAGACGCACGGUCCUGUGUAACCAUUAAGGUACAAACUCUCGAUGACUUUUCGUCUCUUGAUUAGUUUAGACUUCCAAAGAGAUGCCAUGUCAGGCUGCUGAUGUGGACAAAUGCAGUUCCUUUGCAGUCAUUCCAAAGACUUCCAAAGAGAAGCCAUGUCAGGCUGCUGAUGUGGACAAAUGCAGUUCCUUUGCAGUCAUUCCAAAGACUUCCAAAGAGAUGCCAUGUCAGGCUGCUGAUGUGGACAAAUGCAGUUCCUUUGCAGUCAUUCCAAAGACUUCCAAAGAGAUGCCAUGUCAGGCUGCUGAUGUGGACAAAUGCAGUUCCUUUGCAGUCAUUCCAAAGACUUCCAAAGAGAUGCCAUGUCAGGCUGCUGAUGUGGACAAAUGCAGUUCCUUUGCAGUCAUUCCAAAGACUUCCAAAGAGAUGCCAUGUCAGGCUGCUGAUGUGGACAAAUGCAGUUCCUUUGCAGUCAUUCCAAAGACUUCCAAAGAGAAGCCAUGUCAGGCUGCUGAUGUGGACAAAUGCAGUUCCUUUGCAGUCAUUCCAAAGACUUCCAAAGAGAUGCCGUGUCAGGCUGCUGAUGUGGACAAAUGCAGUUCCUUUGCAGUCAUUCCAAAGACUUCCAAAGAGAUGCCGUGUCAGGCUGCUGAUGUGGACAAAUGCAGUUCCUUUGCAGUCAUUCCAAAGACUUCCAAAGAGAAGCCAUGUCAGGCUGCUGAUGUGGACAAAUGCAGUUCCUUUGCAGUCAUUCCAAAGGACUGUGUUCAUGAUCUUGUCCCUGAAGAAAUGUCAAGUUUAGAAAAAUGUGUCACAUGUGGCGGA